AUACGUAGGGUGCGAGCGUUGUCCGGAAUUACUGGGCGUAAAGAGCUCGUAGGUGGUUUGUCGCGUCGUCUGUGAAAUUCCGGGGCUUAACUCCGGGCGUGCAGGCGAUACGGGCAUAACUUGAGUACUGUAGGGGAGACUGGAAUUCCUGGUGUAGCGGUGAAAUGCGCAGAUAUCAGGAGGAACACUGGUGGCGAAGGCGGGUCUCUGGGCAGUAACUGACGCUGAGGAGCGAAAGCAUGGGUAGCGAACAGGAUUAGAUACCCUGGUAGUCCAUGCCGUAAACGGUGGGCGCUAGGUGUAGGGGUCUUCCACGACUUCUGUGCCGUAGCUAACGCAUUAAGCGCCCCGCCUGGGGAGUACGGCCGCAAGGCUAAAACUCAAAGGAAUUGACGGGG
RNAcentral lists this ribosomal RNA (398 nucleotides) under uncultured bacterium. Its description in RNAcentral is "partial 16S ribosomal RNA". It matches the Rfam family "Bacterial small subunit ribosomal RNA", at positions 523 to 918 of the family's 1533-position model. The record is from RNAcentral.